UUAGAUAGUGCUCACUUCUACUCAUUUUAAAAUGGGAACAGUACGGUAAAGAUUAUCAUGGUUCCUGUCCAAGGAUGACUUGCAAAUUUGCAAAGCAUUCUAUAUUUUA
Molecule: small nuclear RNA, 109 nt
Organism: Antechinus flavipes (yellow-footed antechinus)
Lineage: Eukaryota; Metazoa; Chordata; Mammalia; Dasyuromorphia; Dasyuridae
Source: RefSeq, a predicted model, not a curated record